This 819-nucleotide ribosomal RNA is filed under the name uncultured bacterium. Its description in RNAcentral is "bacterial SSU rRNA". It matches the Rfam family "Bacterial small subunit ribosomal RNA", at positions 8 to 796 of the family's 1533-position model. The record is from RNAcentral.
AGAGUUUGAUCCUGGCUCAGGACGAACGCUGGCGGCGUGCCUAAUACAUGCAAGUCGAGCGAGCUGAAUUCACAGAUUCCUUCGGGAUGACGUGUUGGACGCUAGCGGCGGAUGGGUGAGUAACACGUGGGCAAUCUGCCCUAAAGACUGGGAUACCACUUGGAAACAGGUGCUAAUACCGGAUAACAAUGAUGGUUGCAUGACCAUUAUUUGAAAGGCGGCGCAAGCUGUCACUUUAGGAUGAGCCCGCGGUGCAUUAGCUAGUUGGUGAGGUAACGGCUCACCAAGGCCAUGAUGCAUAGCCGAGUUGAGAGACUGAUCGGCCACAUUGGGACUGAGACACGGCCCAAACUCCUACGGGAGGCAGCAGUAGGGAAUCUUCCACAAUGGACGCAAGUCUGAUGGAGCAACGCCGCGUGAGUGAAGAAGGUUUUCGGAUCGUAAAGCUCUGUUGUUGGUGAAGAAGGAUAGAGGUAGCAACUGGCCUUUAUUUGACGGUAAUCAACCAGAAAGUCACGGCUAACUACGUGCCAGCAGCCGCGGUAAUACGUAGGUGGCAAGCGUUGUCCGGAUUUAUUGGGCGUAAAGCGAGCGCAGGCGGAAUGAUAAGUCUGAUGUGAAAGCCCACGGCUCAACCGUGGAACUGCAUCGGAAACUGUCAUUCUUGAGUGCAGAAGAGGAGAGUGGAACUCCAUGUGUAGCGGUGGAAUGCGUAGAUAUAUGGAAGAACACCAGUGGCGAAGGCGGCUCUCUGGUCUGCAACUGACGCUGAGGCUCGAAAGCAUGGGUAGCGAACAGGAUUAGAUACCCUGGUAGUCC